GAUGAAGAACGCAGCGAAAUGCGAUAAGUAAUGUGAAUUGCAGAAUUCAGUGAAUCAUCGAAUCUUUGAACGCACAUUGCGCCCCUUGGUAUUCCGAGGGGCAUGCCUGUUCGAGCGUCAUUAUAACCCUCAAGCUCAGCUUGGUGUUGGGGCCUGCUGCACUGGCAGCCCUUAAAAUCAGUGGCGGCGCCAUCUGGCUCUAAGCGUAGUAAUUCUUCUCGCUAUGGAGUCCUGGUGGAUGCUUGCCAUCAACCCCCAAUUUUUCUAUGGUUGACCUCGGAUCAGGUAGGGAUACCCACUGAACUUAAGCAUAUCAAUAAGCGGAGGA
Molecule: unclassified non-coding RNA, 328 nt
Filed under: soil metagenome
Description: partial contains 5.8S ribosomal RNA, internal transcribed spacer 2, and large subunit ribosomal RNA
Rfam family: 5.8S ribosomal RNA (bases 1-120)
Source: RNAcentral